This 2054-nucleotide ribosomal RNA is filed under the name human gut metagenome. RNAcentral's name for it is "bacterial LSU rRNA". It matches the Rfam family "Bacterial large subunit ribosomal RNA", at positions 1 to 1978 of the family's 2925-position model. The record is from RNAcentral.
UAAAGCUACUAAGAGCUAAUGGAGAAUGCCUUGGUACUGACAGCCGAAGAAGGACGUGUAAAGCUGCGAUAAGCUACGGGGAGUUGCUAAAAGACCUUGAUCCGUAGAAAUCCGAAUGGGGAAACCCUGCAAGGUUAAAACCUUGUAAUCCACAGAUGAAUACAUAGUCUGUGAGAAGGAAAGCCUGUGAACUGAAACAUCUUAGUAACAGGACGAAAAGAAAAUAACCAAAUGAUUCCGAGAGUAGCGGCGAGCGAAAUCGGAAGAGCCUAAACAGUAUGUACGUGAUAGACUGCAAUCGUUGUGCAUAUUGAGUUGUGGGACUUAUGGUAUAAUUUGCAGAUUAUACAAAGAGUUACAAAAUUAUUUAAUAGCUAAAUACAACUGGGAAGUUGAGCCAUAGCGGGUGAUAGCCCCUUAAGCGACAUUAAAUAAUCUCUUAUAAGUAUCCCGAGUAAGGCGGGGCACGUGAAACCCUGUCUGAAUCCACCGGGACCAUCCGGUAAGGCUAAAUACUAGUCAGUGACCGAUAGUGAACGAGUACAGUGAUGGAAAGGCGAAAAGAACAGUGAGAAGCUGAGUGAAAUAGACCCUGAAACCGUUAGCUUACAAUCAGUUAGAGCCCUAUUGAUAGGGUGAUAGCGUGCCUGUUGAAGAAUGAGCCGGCGAGUUAUUUUAUGUUGCAAGGUUAAGGAGUUAAUAUCCGGAGCCCCAGCGAAAGCGAGUUUGAAAAGAGCGUUAAGUAACAUGAAAUAGACCCGAACCUUGGUGAUCUAACCUUGACCAGGAUGAAGCGUGGGUAACACUACGUGGAGGUCCGAACCGACUGAUGUUGAAAAAUCAGCGGAUGAGUUGAGGUUAGGGGUGAAAUGCCAAUCGAACCAAGAGCUAGCUGGUUCUCCCCGAAAUGCGUUUAGGCACAGCGUCAGAUAUAUCUUACAGGAGGUAGAGCACUGGUUUUGUGCGGGCGGCGAAAUGCUGUACCAAACAAUGUCAAACUCCGAAUGCCUGUAAUGUAACUGUCUGGCAGUGAGGCUACGAGUGAUAAGAUCCGUGGCCAAGAGGGAAACAGCCCAGAACGCCAGUUAAGGUCCCUAAUAUAUGCUAAGUGGUUAAGGAGGUAGAGUUGCAUUGACAACCAGGAGGUUGGCUUAGAAGCAGCCAUCCCUUGAAAGAGUGCGUAAUAGCUCACUGGUCAAGCGACUCCGCGCCGAAAAUACACCGGGACUCAAGCAUAUAACCGAAGCUGCGUCAUUACAGUUUACUGUAAUGGGUAGGGGAGCGUUCUGUUGUAGGACGAAGUUAGAUCGAAAGGACUAAUGGACGAAGCAGAAGUGAGAAUGUCGGCAUAAGUAGCGAAAACAUUGGUGAGAAUCCAAUGCACCGUAAACCUAAGGUUUCCCCUGGCAGGCUCGUCCGCGGGGGGUUAGUCGGAACCUAAGAUGAGGCCGAAAGGCGUAGUCGAUGGACAUCAGGUUGAUAUUCCUGAACUAUCUGGUAAUCGUUAUCAGAUGCGGAGGGACGCAGGAGGAUAGGCAUGCAGACGAACGGAAGUGUCUGUUUAAGCGUGUAGCUAGUUUGAGUAGGAAAAUCCGCUCAGGCGUUAAGACGUGAGGCGUUAUGAGGAGAGUCUACGGACUCGAAGCUGUUGAAUCCACACUGCCAAGAAAAACUUCGCAAUCGAGAUUAUCCGGUAUCCGUACCGUAAACCGCCACAGGUAGGUUAGUAGAACAUACUAAGGUGCGCGAGACAACUCUCGCUAAGGAACUCGGCAAAAUCACCUCGUAACUUCGGGAGAAGAGGUACCCUGGUAGCGUGAAGCGAUUUACUCGUGAAGCGUGAUAGGGUCGCAGUGAAUUGGCCCAUGCGACUGUUUACCAAAAACACAGGUCUCUGCUAAGUCGAUCAAGACGAUGUAUAGGGGCUGACGCCUGCCCGGUGUCGGAAGGUUACGUGGAAGGGUUAGUAGUAAUACGAAGCUCUGAAACUAAGCCCCGAUGAACGGCGGCCGUAACUAUAACGGUCCUAAGGUAGCGAAAUUCCUUGUCAGGUA